GUGCUCACUUCAACAACAUAUAUACUAAAAACUUGGAAUGAUACAGAGAAGAUUAGCAUAGCCCCUGCACAAAGAUGACACACAAAUUUGUGAGAAGUGUUCCAUUAAA
RNAcentral lists this small nuclear RNA (109 nucleotides) under Microcebus murinus (gray mouse lemur). The record is from RNAcentral. Lineage: Eukaryota; Metazoa; Chordata; Mammalia; Primates; Cheirogaleidae.